GAACAGAUCCUGCUCGCGAACUUUGAUCGUCUUCGAAAUCAGAACUGAAGUUUAUCUCCUGUGGUUUCAAUAUUUCCAUUGUUUUUUUUUUUCCCCUUUUUCUUGUCUCGGAAGUCAAAAUCACUUGAAGAAUAUUCUCCAAUUCCGCAUCAAUGCUGAGCGAUAAUCAUAGCUUGUUGAAAACGAUUUGGUGUGGUGGACGUCUGUCAUAUGAUGUGAAAUUUUCUCACCGAGCUUUGAUGAACAAUGGCGGAUUAUGUCGGGACGAGAUGGAAUUCAGAUUUUCUGUUGCCAAUGGAGUUGAUGAAUAUGUUAAUCGAAAUCGAGAAAGUUGGGGAACAAUCGUGUUGCUGGUGCUGCAAUAUCGUGUCCCAUAUCUGGUGGAUGUUUCCCGGCAUCUCGUCGUCAAAUAGCCAAUUCUUCGACAAUCGGAGUUGAUAAGCGAACAGCAUUAUAGUUUGCGAUUGAGAAACAGCAACUGUGAGAUGAGAUGACUGAAAUGUUGGGCUUAUAUUCAGUUGACAUAGGUUCAUUCCCUGGAAAUUAGUUGAAGGGUCAGCAAUCAGAGGACAUAAAAAGGCAGUGAUCUUAAACGACAUUUCAUUAAAUUUAGUCUAAAGAGUCUGCAGAAGAAGCAUAAAGCCACGCUGUUCUCUAAUUGUUUGACAUUAUUUUGCUGCCUUUCUUGCACACAGGUAAGGAAGCUGGAUUCAACUUUUAAUGACCUCUUCCCGUUUGAGUUUGACAGGCGGUUCUUUGAGAAAUUCAGGACCUUCCUCACGUAUGGCUGUGUGGCUUGCAUGUGCAAAGACGUUAUCGGUGUUUUUGCC
This is a long non-coding RNA of Cucurbita maxima (winter squash), 830 nucleotides long. RefSeq lists it as uncharacterized. NCBI's taxonomy places the organism in Eukaryota, Viridiplantae, Streptophyta, Magnoliopsida, Cucurbitales, Cucurbitaceae. The record is from RefSeq and is a predicted model, not a curated record. The transcript is spliced from 4 exons.